Molecule: ribosomal RNA, 365 nt
Filed under: uncultured Salinibacterium sp.
Lineage: Bacteria; Bacillati; Actinomycetota; Actinomycetes; Micrococcales; Microbacteriaceae
Description: bacterial SSU rRNA
Rfam family: Bacterial small subunit ribosomal RNA
Source: RNAcentral
UUUGGACACUCGUAAACAGGUGGUGCAUGGUUGUCGUCAGCUCGUGUCGUGAGAUGUUGGGUUAAGUCCCGCAACGAGCGCAACCCUCGUCCUAUGUUGCCAGCACGUCAUGGUGGGAACUCAUGGGAGACUGCCGGGGUCAACUCGGAGGAAGGUGGGGAUGACGUCAAAUCAUCAUGCCCCUUAUGUCUUGGGCUUCACGCAUGCUACAAUGGCCGGUACAAAGGGCUGCAAUACCGUAAGGUGGAGCGAAUCCCAAAAAGCCGGUCUCAGUUCGGAUUGAGGUCUGCAACUCGACCUCAUGAAGUUGGAGUCGCUAGUAAUCGUGGAUCAGCAACGCCACGGUGAAUACGUUCCCGGGCCUU